Molecule: ribosomal RNA, 667 nt
Filed under: Burkholderia sp. Mi152
Lineage: Bacteria; Pseudomonadati; Pseudomonadota; Betaproteobacteria; Burkholderiales; Burkholderiaceae
Description: bacterial SSU rRNA
Rfam family: Bacterial small subunit ribosomal RNA
Source: RNAcentral
GGCGAGUGGCGAACGGGUGAGUAAUACAUCGGAACGUGUCCUGGAGUGGGGGAUAGCCCGGCGAAAGCCGGAUUAAUACCGCAUACGAUCUUGGGAUGAAAGCGGGGGACCGAAAGGCCUCGCGCUCAAGGGGCGGCCGAUGGCAGAUUAGCUAGUUGGUGGGGUAAAGGCCUACCAAGGCGACGAUCUGUAGCUGGUCUGAGAGGACGACCAGCCACACUGGGACUGAGACACGGCCCAGACUCCUACGGGAGGCAGCAGUGGGGAAUUUUGGACAAUGGGGGCAACCCUGAUCCAGCAAUGCCGCGUGUGUGAAGAAGGCCUUCGGGUUGUAAAGCACUUUUGUCCGGAAAGAAAACCUCCGUCCUAAUACGGUGGGGGGAUGACGGUACCGGAAGAAUAAGCACCGGCUAACUACGUGCCAGCAGCCGCGGUAAUACGUAGGGUGCAAGCGUUAAUCGGAAUUACUGGGCGUAAAGCGUGCGCAGGCGGUUCGCUAAGACCGAUGUGAAAUCCCCGGGCUUAACCUGGGAACUGCAUUGGUGACUGGCGGGCUAGAGUAUGGCAGAGGGGGGUAGAAUUCCACGUGUAGCAGUGAAAUGCGUAGAGAUGUGGAGGAAUACCGAUGGCGAAGGCAGCCCCCUGGGCCCAUACUGACGCUCAUGCA